AAGUCGUAACAAGGUUUCCGUAGGUGAACCUGCGGAAGGAUCAUUAACACGUAUCCGCGUAUCAACCAAUUGCGAACUUGUUUUCAUAUCUCCCUCUAUUAGCAGAAAAUGAAUUGGAAUUUGUGCACAGGGUAGAAGUGGACUCUCCUUAAACAAGAGAGUUACCUGUAACAUACACACUUAGACUUCACGGUCUAGACAAUUGUAUUUCUGUAGAGGCUAGUCUUUAACGCAUGGAUACUCACUCCUAUCGUUGCGGUAAAGGCACACUUAAUAACUUAUUUCACCCUUUUUUGCUAGUUGACUUUUAUAUGUGUAUUGUAUGCGAAAGUAUGCACUCACACGUUUAAUUUAUUUGAACGUUAAAAAUACAACUCUUAGCAAUGGAUAUCUUGGUUCUC
RNAcentral lists this unclassified non-coding RNA (401 nucleotides) under fungal sp. RNAcentral's name for it is "partial internal transcribed spacer region". The stretch from base 1 to 46 matches the Rfam family "Eukaryotic small subunit ribosomal RNA", at positions 1786 to 1831 of the family's 1831-position model. Lineage: Eukaryota; Fungi. The record is from RNAcentral.